AGACACGUAGUUUACACAACCGUUAAAGGCAUGAUUACAAAGUGACCAUACACUUUAUUUAGAAAAAGAAAAAACGGUUCAUUUAAGCCUCGACGAUCUCCUCGAUAAAAGGUUGUUGUUGCCUACCAGCGGAUCGAGUCAAGGUGGUCUCAAGGGUGUUAAACUUGAUCCUCCUAGCUUCCUCGGGGGAGACCUGGAAACCAUUUGAGAUGACCGCUAAUGGCAAUCCCCUCAAGAGCGAGGUUCGUCCAGCCAAAGUGCUGAUCAUAGCGUUUUCGUUAGUCUUGAAAGAGAUCCACUCGAAGUUGUUUCCGUGGGACUGGACAACGUAUGCGAACCCUUGUGGGAUGACCACGAGCUGUCCCUUCUGCACCUGCUGGUCCAACACAUUCUGUCCGUUGUCGUUCACAACUUGGAUCCUUCCUUGUCCUCCGGUGCAGUACAAGAUCUCGUUAGCGUUCAUGUUGUAUUUUGGAAGUACCAUAGCAUUCUGCAACAUUUCAUACAUGAUCAGUUGUUGUCCGUCACAUGUAGCCUCCGAUUUUAAUAUGUUUUGUUUUGUUUUUUUUGAAAAAGAUUUUUAAUAUGUUUUGUUAGGGGAAAUAAUUAAUAUCAACCAUGUAAAUAUAGUGGAUUAUAUAAGUUUAGUGACUUAAUAUCCAUAUAUCUACAACUAAAUAUCUACUAAAUUUAAUUAUAAUUUGUAUACUAUCCCUAAUUUAUCUUUUCACGGUUGAUUUCUCUAUAUUUGUAUAAAGUAAAAGAAACAUAUACUUACACCCUGGAUACUGCCACGGGUGGCGCUGAGCCUGAUGAACUGCAAGAUGGGCAAGGUGUAGCUGUUAACGGUGGUCAUACGACCUAGGUUGGGCUUGUAUACGUCAGCACGAGCAGGGUCGUCAAUGUUUUCGUGGGACCUCAUGCUGCAGAUAGUCUCCUCAAGGCCGUUGUCUUGUGGGCCACGUGGGCGUCUCCUCUCUUCGCUCUCGUAGGGUUGUCUCAAAGGUGGUCGCACGACCUGGAAAGGUCCCUUAACACGAACGAUGUUUCCUCGGUUGUCUUGUUGGUUCUGAAGCUCCUGAGCCAACUGAACGUCAAUUUUCAAUGCCUGAGCAAUGACCUGAGCGUCGAAGCCGCUCCACAUGUUCUUCUGUUCUUGUUGUUGCUGUGGACCGCCAAAGCCACCCUGUUGGUUGUUUCCGGCCAAAUGGAACACCUAUAACACCGAAUCAACAAAUGCAAAACAUUUAUAUAUUAUUUAAACUGAUACGGUAGAUAUUCUAAUAAUGAGUGAGCAUGUUGAGUAUAUAUGAUUACUCUAGGGUUACGGUCGAGUUGGUUUUGGUAGUUGGCGAUGUCGAGAAGAGCGAUGAUGACAAGUGGCUGUUCUCCGGUGUUGUAGAUCCAAUGGGCAGAGCCUGGAGUGAUGGCACAGAUGUCUCCCUGGCGAACAUGUUCCACCUUCUGGUGCAUGUCACGGAACCCUUGUUGUUGCUGUUGUCCCUGUUGUCCCUGUUGUCCCUGGCCUCCCCAUGGUUGUCGUCCCUGUUGUCCCUGUCUUUGUUCUUGCUGUUGUUCUUGCAUGGGCUGCGAGUCCAUGAAGGUCUCAGCACAUCCAGGGACCACUCUUCCGCUAAUACCCUUUCCUGUAAAUUAAUUUUAUAUACAGAAUAGAGUUAUCGUACGGUGAAUCUAUUGUAUUCUUCAUUAAUUAAAACGUGAUAUAUACGUAUUUGAUUGAAAGGGCUAUCAUGUUUGUGUAAAUUGAUAUAGACCUUGAACAACGUAUGAGAUCUUCGGGGAAGUGAAGAAGGUGGGCAAGUAGAGACCGCCUUGUUCGAUCACAUAACGAGCGACGGAGACACCAGCACAUCGGAGUUGAGGGUGGUUGUGAUCCCAGUACUCGAUCUGACCGGCCUCACUCUUGAUAGUUUCGGUGGCUUGGAGAACGUCCAGGUUAUCAAGGUUACACUCGUUCUGCAGCUGAGGAGGAACCCCAAGAGACUGCCUUGCAAGGCAGCCGUUAAGGACGAGGAGAACCCCGAAGGUCGCAACGAGGAGAUUGCCGAGCUUAACCAUUUUCUUUUUGUUUGUUGUGAGAGAUGGAUGAAGAAGAACGAGGCUUAGCAGUAGUUUAUAUACUGUCGAGUGAGCUCAAUGUUUAUGCCACCUAAGAUUGGGUUUGCAUGGGGUCAUGAGUCUAUGGUUUUAACACGUCAGUCUGUGAGCUCGAGCAAGUGUCUCUUGAUGUUCAUGCGCGUAGCUCACUCUCCGCGUAUGCCAAAACACGACAAAUUCAAAUGUAUCUAUCUCAAUUUUUAGCUUCACGUUAUGUUAUUAUCCAUAUAGAAAAACUCUACUAGAUUUAUCAUUUAAUAACGUCUCGGGAUCAUAGAAUCUCUUAAACAUGAUAUAUAAUUGAACUUAAACACAGCAGGAGAAAAUCAAAGUUUAACAAUUAACACAUCAUUAACAUCACCAGUGAUAUAUAUUGAAUAUUUUGGCGAUGUGAUCGAAGAGAGCGUAUAAACAAAAUAAAAUUUUAAAAUAGAGAGUUAGGAAGGAAACAAGGUGCCACAUGAGAGAGACGCGGCGACACUAGGCGUGUUUGAUCCGUUGUACUUGUAUCUGCUGCGACUUGACUCGACAACUGUUCGGUUGCAUGUUUAGCCGCGGUGACAAGUGUCUGACAUUUAUACUAAAUAGGCUUAUCAAAACCAAAACCAAGCCCAAUAAAGUAUUCUUUAUUCACCAUUAAGCCCAGCUAACGUAUCUAAUUGCCCAUAGCGUGAGCCCAAAGAAAAAAAAAAAAAAAAAUGCGACACCGUCCCGUUUCUCCAAUAGAAGUCAGAGAGCUUAAACCCUAAACCCCUUUCUCACGAUCUUCCCCUUUCUCCAGUAGCCAAGGUUUCAGGUACGCUUCUCGCCAUUUCGCUUUUGUAUUUUGUUUAACGGGUGUGUAUCAAUUGAUUCCUUUCGAAAUUUUAGUGAACGAGUGAAUUUUGGAGGUGGCUGAGAGAGUUUUCUGCUCGAAGUUAAUUACUUGCUGUUUAUACCAAAGAUGCGAGUGUUGCUGUUUGAUUGAUUAGAAGUGUUUUGAGCAUGUGGGUUCGUUAAAUUUUAUAGCUUUUACGAUUUCGUGUGCUGAAAUUUGACUUCAUUUUGAUUCUGUUACUUGACUCUUUUGGUAGCUAUAAGUUAAAGUUGCAUAAGUGAGUAGAUCUGAGUCUGAUUCUUGGGUGCAUGUUUGUGUAUUCUGUUUCUCUGCACUUGGAUAUUGAUUUUAAUUUUUUGAAAUAUUGGGAGUGUUCUAGAAAGAAGGAUGAAUAUCAACGUCAAAGUUCCGAAGGUACCAGGUGGUGGUGCCAUUUCAGCGCUGCUUAAGGUUGGGAUUAUCGGUGGGCUUGGUCUCUAUGGUGCCACACACAGUCUCUACAAUGUUGACGGAGGACAUCGUGCCAUUAUGUUCAAUCGUUUUAUCGGUAUCAAAGAUAAGGUGAGUCACUGUUUCUUCAAAUUGGGGUUUUUGGUUUUGUAGUGAAUGUAUUUUCCCAAAGAGUUCUUUUGCGGUUUGUGACAUUUGAAUGGAAAUUGUCUAGGAUUAUUUGUUAUUUAAAUCUGAUUCUCUUUUGUGUAAACACUGAGGCUGAUUUGUUGUCUAUGUUUGGUAUCAGUCAUGAUAUCAUGUUGUUCUGCUGUAACCAUUGAGCAUAUUAAGAGUCUUGUUAAUUCACAAGUAGGUGAUAACCUUAUAUUUCGCAGGUUUACCCUGAGGGCACACACCUUAUGAUUCCUUGGUUCGAAAGGCCGGUCAUCUAUGACGUUCGCGCUCGACCUUACCUUGUUGAGAGUACAUCCGGAAGCCGCGAUCUCCAGAUGGUACUCUGCUUCAACUCCUCACAUUUUUAUUCACUUUUUUUUUGAGGAUUUAGGGAAUGUGAAGUCUUUCGCUUCAACCGUCACAUGGUUUGCUUAUAUGCCACUGUGAUGUAAUAAUGUCAACGCUCAACUUCAUAAGCUUUAAGUUUGUGGGUUUUGAAACUUUCAGGUGAAAAUUGGGCUUAGGGUUCUCACGCGUCCCAUGGCAGACCAGUUACCUGAAAUCUACAGAUCCCUUGGUGAGAACUACAGCGAGAGAGUUCUGCCUUCCAUAAUCCACGAGACUUUGAAAGCUGUGGUUGCUCAGUACAAUGCAAGCCAGCUUAUUACUCAGAGAGAGGUAUACAAGUGACUGUAAAUAUAUGAUAAUCUUUCCCUCUUUCUUAGUGAAGUUAACAAAGAUAGUUUUUGGGCUACUCUUAGGCGGUCAGUAGGGAGAUCAGGAAGAUUCUGACUGCACGAGCUGCAAACUUCAACGUCGCGCUUGAUGAUGUGUCCAUCACGACCCUGACAUUCGGGAAGGAGUUCACCGCUGCCAUUGAAGCAAAGCAGGUGGCGGCUCAAGAGGCUGAGCGAGCCAAGUUCAUCGUUGAGAAGGCUGAACAAGACAAGAGAAGUGCAGUUAUCCGUGCACAGGUAAAGCUGAGCUUCUCUACAAUUCCACUUAUCUAAAAUCUGAGACCGAAAUUGUUGUGUGACAACCUUGUCAUGGCUUGUGUAGGGAGAAGCCAAGAGUGCUCAGCUCAUUGGUCAAGCAAUUGCAAACAACCAAGCGUUUAUCACACUCAGGAAGAUCGAGGCUGCAAGAGAGAUUGCGCAGACCAUAGCAAACUCGGCGAACAAGGUGUACUUGAGCUCAGACGAUCUGUUGCUUAACCUACAAGAGAUGAAUUUGGAUGUAGAUGCAAAGAAGUAGAGAGGCUUCUUAAGUAAAAUCUCAUGUGCUUCAUGUCGUCUUUUCAAUUCCUCAGAUCCUUUGGAAGAAGAGUUCGAUUUGUAACCACUAAAAAACUUUUAAAAGUUGUUCUUGGAAUCACCUACCUCAAGGUGAAAAUGGGUCACCAUUAAAGAGAAAAGACUGAAUGAGUUAAUUGUAAUGAACUUGUCGUUUGGGGGAAAAAAAAAAGAGGUUUGCAUUUGGUUAAAUGAAAAAAGUGAUUUAUUUUUCCUUUCGAAAUAACGAGUGUCAAUUGUCAAAUGGCUAAUCUACUGCUUAAGACAUCCGAAGUCUGUAGGCGCUAUUUAGUUCUCUGCCGACAAGAUAUGAAAAUGAAUAAAUGUACCAAAAGACAAGGGAGAUCUUUGUACAUUUUUUCACGAUCAGUCCAAGGAAUUUAAAUUGUACAAAGCAAAUAAAAAAGGGGGAGAAAAAAAAUUAUGACAAAAAGAAAAACAAGUUACGUAUUUAAGUUUGCACAGUAACUUUUAAGUUAUUUUCAAUGUAUGUUUAUGUAGUAAUAUGAAGUAUAAUGCUUAUAUACCCUUUCUCUUAUUUUACGACCGUUGAUAUAAAAUUUGAUUUUCUUUUCAAGGGAUAAAAGGUUGAGAGUCAUGAGCCAAAUGGUUCUGUAUCCCGGUCUGAUUAAACGAGAUAAGAGCCGGAAUAUUGUGAUAAUACUCACCGGCUCCGGCCGUUCCCCCUCCACCGCCGUUGCUCUUGACGUUACUGUUGUUAUGAUGAAGAUGGUAAUGAAGGUGUCGGCCACUACUUCCACCGAGGCCUUGGAGGUAAGGUCGGUCUUUAGCCGUGGCUGCUGCAGCGACUGAGCCACCACAUUGGCGUGGUUGAGUCUGGUAGAAGACUUUGGAGACGACGAGCUCUCCUUCUUUCUCUUCCUCGUUGGUACCAAGAUGAUAUUGAUGCAUUACCCAAUUAGUCUUCUCGGGCUUUUUUUGUUUGCCGUAGUUUGUGUAGAGCACUAGGAUUUUCUUGUAGCCUCUCACUCUUCCACCGGCUAGAACUGGCCGUGUUUUGCCGGUUUUGUGCCACCGUGUCUCGCCACCAACUUCGGAAUCAGUGUGGACUUUACGUCGUUUUCUUGUUCCCGUCGUGUAUGCCUUCGACGGCCGGUGGAAAAAAUGACGGACAGUCCCGUCCUUGUUCACUCCUAUAUAUAUAUAUUCAACGACUAAUUAGCAUUCAUCAAACAUUUUCUUCUAUUUAACCUUUUUAUCAAAUAUCAUUCAAUUAUUAAUUUUCAACAUAUUUUUGGAGUUUUCACUAAUCAUAUACUAGCUAGUGGAAACAAAUAACAAAAUUUGAUCAUCAACCCUAAUUAUAAUUAAUGCUAUUAUUUGUAUGUAACAUAUUUUUCAGAUGGAUGGCACUAAAUCUAUAGAAAUCAAACAUUAAAUUAUUAAUGUAUAGAAAAAUAGUAUACACUAUACAAGAACAAUAGAUAUGUAAUCAAUCUUUUAAAGUAUCAUAAAAGUUAUAUAUGUUCUUUUUCCAUGUCAGAUUAUUUAGAUCAUAUGAAAAUGAAAAAUAUAAAUAUAUACUAGAUUCGGACCCGCGCUACAGCGCGGGGGAAAAUUGUCUGGUUUUGUUUUUUGUUUUUUUCUUUCAAAUGUCGAUUGUAAAAUUUGAUGUUUUAUUUUAAGUAUGUAAUUGUGUUGGGUUGGAAAAUUUAACGUUUAAAAUAGAAUAUGAUAGCGUGGUUCCCGUAUGAGCUUAAUUUUCCGAUGUUUUGAAAAUGGCAUUUGGGGAUAAAAGAUUGUUGGUGUUAUACAAUUGAAACAUUUAUUAAGUUAAUGUGGGUUUAAUAAAGUUUAUAUACUCAAGUUAGUAACUAAUUGUAUGUAAUAUUUAUAACAUUAUUAAGCUAAACUGUUAUUUUGCUAAGUAAUAUUGAUGAAGUAUGUGUUUAUAUUUCUAAAUUGAACCUUUAGUAGGUUUGUAUCAUCAUGUUGACAACAAUUUAUAUUUUUGUUCAUGUUUACUUUUUUUUUACCAAUAUUAACGAUGGCUUCUCAAAUCCUUAUUACGGAAACACUAAGACUAUCUCCAAAGAGGGAUCCUUAAGUCAAAAUUAGAAUUUAUGUUGAUUUAAAAUAAAUGUAAAUGUAAUUAAAUGAUAAAGAGCGCUCCUUAUUAAAAGACUUUAAAAAGCGGUUGCUAAAGGACGUGGCAAAAUAAUAUUGGUUGUGGCAAACAUACAUUUUUUNNNNNNNNNNNNNNNNNNNNNNNNNNNNNNNNNNNNNNNNNNNNNNNNNNNNNNNNNNNNNNNNNNNNNNNNNNNNNNNNNNNNNNNNNNNNNNNNNNNNGUCUCUCUCUUCUCUCGCAUUCCUCUCUUUUUCUUUCUCUUUCUUUAUUUUUCUCUCUCUCUUUUAUUUAAUUGUAAUUUAUAAUAAAAUAUUAUUAUACACAUUUUUUAAGGGUUCAAGGUUGGAGAUGCCCUAAUAAAUUAAUAUUGCCUAAAUCCACAUUUUAUAAUAUAAAAGUUUAGGUUUUGUUGACAAUUAUGAAGCCUUUUUGUUUUCCAUAAUAAGAACAAUUAAUAAUAACUGUGGGCUUUUGGCCCAUUACUGAAUUUUAGUGGAUGAUGUUUACCCAAUUUAUUUAUUUUUUUCAAUCAAAAUUGUCUUGCAGUCAGAUUUUGUCGUUAUUGAAAUCGAAAUUUAGGAAAAUCUUGGUUCGUAAUUCUAGGAGAUACGAAAAAGUUGUUAUAUUAUUCACUUAGUUACUAUAUCAUACUCAAUGCUGUUGAAAUUACGCUUUAAUGCGUAAUAAUUAUUGAAGGAAAGAUAUUAUGAAUAUUCGUAUAGUUGUUAGGUAAAGUUCUUGGAAUAUUCUGUUUUUUGGUAUAUUGAAAACGCACGAGACAGAGAAGUCGCUAGUAUAACUAUCUAAGGCCAAGAAGAAGGCCCAAAACAUUAUUAGCUUUUAAUGUCCGAUUAAUAUAGCAAUAACUUCCGUUCAAAUUUUAUUGAGAAGAUCCGAUUUGGAAGUCGGAUUUUUUUUUUAAAACCGACCCGAGAGAGUAUUUGUACUUCUCUUUUACUAUAGUAGGGAUUUUCUGUUAAAAUUAUUUAUUUUGCUGUCAUUAAUUCUGUUUGGUUAUAGGUUUAGGAUUACAUAAAAUGUUAUUUUUAUUUUUAAUUGUGUUUGGCUUUCAAGAUAAAUAAUGCUUUCCUUUUAAUAGUAUAGAUAGCUCAUGUAAACAGCAAAAUUGUUGAUGAUUGAACAACAUAGAAUCACCUGGCAAUUUCUCAGGAUGGGUAUAACAGAUGCCGUUUUCACCAUCGAUAGUACGGAUGAACUCAUCGAUGAGAGGAUGAAGCUUUCUUGCGUCGUCUUUUACCUUCCCCUCAAGAUGUUCCAGUACCUCUUGAUCCGUCGGAUCAAAUUUCACUCCGGCGGGCAGUCCCGGCAAGUCAUGGAUCCCGGCCUACAUAAAUUGGGUUUUUGAUUACUCAUGAUCAACUAAUAGAUAUCAAUGAUCAAACAGUUUCCAAAUGUAGAAACUAGAUGUAGCUAGCUAGGUAUUGAGAGAAACAAGAACCUGUUCAUGAAACUUGAAGUUAUGGCCACAAGAAGGACAAGUUUUGUGGCUUGAGACCGGUAAUGAGGCUCUGGGAGACUCAGCCGCAGUCGGGGAGGGAAUGAUUCUUUCAACGGUCUGAACAUCGUUACGGUCAUUGCACCAAGUCAUGUUGUUUUAGGUAUCCAAGGUUCCUCUUGUGCAUAUCUCUCUUUCUCCUCUUCUUUCACUGCUCACAACUUCGUCAAAAUAAACAAAGGCAUGAGAGAGGAAGAGAGGAAGAGAGGAGGGAAAAAGAGUUAAAGUUAGCUAAAGCAUAUGUAUCCUAAGAAGAACUCUUUGAGGUUAUCUUGAGAAGGAGGAAGGAAUUGAAUUCUUGUUCAUCACUUUUUAAGUUGAGUUAAUUGGCCUUUUUUGCACUUGAUUUUAACUUUGUACUAUCCAUGAAAGAGAGAGAGAGAGAGAGAGAGAGAGAGAGAGAGAGAGAGAGAGAGAGAGAGAGAGAGAGAGAUGAGGUAAGCCUAAAAAAUUUAUUAUUUAAACCUCAUUUUAUAUUGUGUACAAAUGUACCAUUACUCUACAUAGUAAGAAAUUAUUAUUUAGAGCUAGACUUAAUUAGUUUUGUUUAAUAAGUAUAUUUGUAGAAACAUACAUGCUAAGUAACAAUGAGAGGAAGAGGUACACCUACAACUCAACUUGAAAGUGAAGUGUAAUAUAUAAUUGUGAAAUUUCAAUCUUUUGAUUUACAUGUAACAUUGAUCUUUUGCCAAAAAAAAACAUGUAACAUUGAUAAAUUAUAUAUUGGAAAUUUUCUUCUUCUUGUUUUUUUUACAAGUUUACAAUGCAUAGUUGUAUCUUCUAUAGUUAAAAGCAUUAAAUUAAAAACUUCAGAUUCUUUCUGAAACUGCAAUGUGAUAUUCUGAAUAAACUAAUGGAUGAUUAGAAUUAAGAAAAAAAUAAAUAAAGGAGAUUGCUUGGGUUUUAAGUUUGGUUUGGCUUCUACAUCGCAUGUAUGGUGUGUGAGAGAGAAAGAGACAAAGACGACUGAUCAAACAUCUAAAAUAUAUGAAAAACAAAAUCUUGUGAGAGAAUAUAUAUGUAUGAUGUUGCCUUUUUUUUUCUUUUUGGGACAAACACAUUCUUAAUUAGGUUAAUUAAUUAGGUUUCUACCUUUGGUCGUAUUUUGUAUGUAUUGAUCUUUAUAUUCAAUAUAUUAAUUUGGUAAUUUACUGAUAUUUAGGAUCUAAAAAUGAGUAAUGAGAUGGCGUGGUUUUGGAGGAAGGUGUUGUUGCUGGUUCGUGAGGGAUCAGACGUGAUAGGGUAGAACCAAAAAAAAUAAGAAAGAGAAGUUAAGGUCCAAUGUCACCCUAGCGUGUAUAUAAAGAUAUUAUAAAUCACAUAAGCUUAUACUUAUAAUUUACACAUCUGUGUCUUACAUAAUUUUUCUUGUCUCAAUGUCUCCAUCAGUAUUUACUGAAAUCAUAUACUCUAUACGAGUACUGACUGAUAUACGUAAGAAAACAUUAAUAAAAACAUUGAUAUUAUUUCCGAUGGAUAUUGUACACCUCGAAUAUAGUUUUAAGUCGUGCAGAAGUAUAGUUUUAGUAAUUAGUUUCUCAUUUUUUUCCCUUUUAAAUUAUUGGUUAGUUUUAACUUUUGUGAAAUAAAUCAAUAAUACUCUAGAGAAUAAAGUUAAAAGCGAUAUAUGCGUAUAAUUAUUUAUUUUUGAAAUCUUACGUUUAUUGUCAAAAAUAGUUAUGAUCACGUCAAGAUAACAACUCUCAAAAUCGCAAGAAAAACAUAUCCUUGAAAUACAAAUUAUAAGUAGCAUGUCGAAAAAUGAAUUAACAUUUAACACUUUGUGGCAUGAAUUUGUAAGUGAAGUUGAGAUGGAAUUGUUAUAUACCGAGGUUGAUGAAUAAUAUAAAAGUAAGAAGCUAUUUUUUAUAUAGAUAAAAAGAAAAAGAAAGUUUAAAAAGCUAGUCAUUAUUCUAUUUCUUCACGUAGACUUUUCAUGCAUAACAAGGAACCUCAACCUUUAUUUUUAAAACUUUUCUCUUUGUCGUCUGAUUUUGUUUCUGGUCUCUCAUGUGAAUUGUAAACACAUGUUAUACUACCUUUUCUAAUCAAACUAAACAAAAUUUAUGAACAAACCGGUUCUCUAAGACAGUGAAUAGUAUGCUGCAGCUAAAACCCACAAUUGUAGAGUUCCUUAGAUGUGAGGUGGGUGAUGGUCGCUCUGCUUCUUUUUGGUAUGACUCUUGGACAGAAUUUGGUCAGCUUAUAUCUUACCUUGGAGAAGCUGGACCAAGAUUACUCUGCAUAAGGAAAGAUGCAAAGGUUGUAGAAGCAACGAGAAGUGGUAAUUGGGUUUUUCCGGCAGCUAGAUCUGAUAAUUCCCAAGCUUUAAUGGUGGCAUUAGCAGACCACUCUCCACCAGAAUCUAGCAAAGGCCGAGACGCUUUCCUGUGGCGCAAUGCUUCAGGUAAUUUCAUCCCAUCUUUCUCUUCAAAGGAAACUUGGGAGCAGUUGAGAAUUCAUUCACCUUUGGUUCCAUGGGCUGAUGUGAUAUGGUUUAAAGAGCAUGUGCCACGUUUCUCCUUUGUUAGUUGGCUGGCUUUGAUUGCUCGUUUACCCACAAGAGAUAGACUACGAAGGUGGGGCAUGAAUACCCCUGCCUCCUGUGUUCUAUGCUCUAAUGGGGAAGAAAACCACAAUCAUCUCUUCUUUGAGUGCACCUUCUCCUCAAGCGUCUGGGGUUUUUUUGCAGCGAAGUUCAUCUCCUUUCCUCCGGCCACCUUGUCAGCAGCGUCUUCAUGGAUCCUCCUCCACAAUCUGCCGCAAAACACCAAACUCAUCUCCAUCCUCAAGCUCCUCCUUCAGACGGUGGUCUAUCACCUUUGGAAAGAGAGAAACUCUCGAUUAUUCACCGGUGUUGCAUCAACCGCUGCAGCUUUGCGGCUUAUCAUUGAUCGUACAAUGCGUAGUCGGCUUCUCUCCUUUCCAGGACCUAGCUUGCUUUCUUCUUCUCUCCUUGCUGUUUAUUUUAGUCGUCUUAGUUAUCCGUUGUAAAGUAAUUCGUCUAGUCUGUCUCUUGUUCUCGUGCUAAUGGGUUAGUUUUUGUAUCUUUAGGUUGUAAUAGCUUUGGCAAUGAAAUCUUCACAUUAAAACCAAAAAAAAAAAAAUUUAUGAACAAAAAAGUUACACUUGUGUGUCUCUUCGGGAAAUUUUUGUGGUUAGCUUGUUGUUUUCAUGGGUGGAUCGAAAGCGCCGCAAGGUGACAUUCAAGAAAACCAGUAACAAAACCAAUUAUGACAUUACUUGCAUGUUCUUGGAAAUUUAGCAUAUACAAUUUAUAAUGGCACUAUUAGAUUACUUUAACUUACAAAAAUAUGUAAUUCAAGAAUUUCAACUAAAAAAAUAAAAAUAAAAAAUUCAGGUCCCUGGAAUGCAGGAAUAACGAUUUGUUGUUAAAUCAAUGUUGGUUACAAACAUGAAACAUUACAUAAGUUUAAAUAUAUAAUAACCAAACUUAGUAAUAAAUAGCAUAUCCCUUUAUACUAGGAUUAUCAAGAGCUAUUACCUAAUUAGAAAGCUCUAUUUUUCUGUUUCUUGAUAUCUUACAAUUCAACUUAGCUUAGCAUCAUAACAUCAAAUCGUUAUUCCCGGCCCAAUCCAAACUCGGCCCAGUAUUAUAAUGCUCAAACGCUGUUUAAGUCUUCUGUGUAGUAUGGAGACAGUUUCCCACCACUCUUUUUAGACGCGUUUGGACUGCUACUGGAAACAGUACCAGGUACUUCUUGAAGCAUGAUCACAACUUUUCUCAUGGAAGGUCGGUUUAGAGGGAGAGGACUCAUACAGAGAAGACCAAUGUGUAUGACUUUGCUAAUCUCUUCUUUAAACCUGAGAUCAAGUUUUGGAUCUAUAACAGAUUCUAAACCGCAUUGGUCAAGCGUAGAGCACACCCAUUUCCCCAAAUCUUUUUCUCCAAGUUCUUGAUCUGUUGGUUGCUUCCCUGUAACCAAUUCCAAAAGCACCACACCAAAGCUGUAGAUAUCGCUCUUUUCAUUCACCCGAAGUGUGUAUACAUACUCUGCAAAAUUUAAAACUCGGAAUAUAAGUUGGAAUGUUAAAAGAAUGCAGUUGAAUUGUAUCGUUUCAUUCAGAUGGAUUUCUCUUGUAACUUUAUGGUAUUGUUUUGGUAAAUACCUGGUGCAAUGUAACCGCAAGAACCAGCGAUCCCGGACAUAGCUUCUGGCGUUUUGGAACCGCUCAUCUGACCAAUUUUUGCAAUCCCAAAGUCGGCAAUUUUGGCUCUGUAUUUUCCAUCAAGCAGUAUAUUACUCGACUUCACGUCGCGGUGCACAAUCGGAGGAACGCAAUCAUGGUGCAAGUACGAUAAACCCUCAGCAGCGUCCACAGCGAUUCUUAACCGCUCUGGCCAACCCAACAACAGCCGGCCUUUGCGUUCAUUGUGCAACACAUCAGCUAAGCUCCCAUUAGGCAUAUACUCGUACACCAACAACUUACAAUCACCGGAGCUGCAACAACACCACAAACGCACGAUACUCUUAUGCCUAAUCGUUCCUAGUGUUUCGACUUCCGCGGCAAAAAAGUCUCUGUUCAACGAAUCGCUGUAUUCAUCUCCUCCUUUAACAGUUUUGUUAAGUUUCUUCACAGCUACUACUUCUCCACCGCGAAGCUCCACUUUGUAGACUUUACCGGAGGAUCCAAACCCGAUCACAUUCCGUUCAUCAAGACAAUCAGCGAUUUCGUGCUCACUGAAAUGAAGCUUGUGAAAGGAUCUCCAUUUAGACGCUGCGAGUCUAGAGCUCUUUAAAGCUCUGAGCUUUCUACACUUAGCAACGAACAUAACGACCCCAACAACGAAAACCAAACCCGCAAGUGUGAAAAUCGAUAAGAGAAUCCAGACAUAGCCAAUGUUUUUAGACCGCGUGAUCUUCUGACAAAGACCAUCAAGAUCAACGCAUAAACCGGGAUUUCCAAUAAAGUCAUGUGCGUAUAUUUUGUCCCUGUACAGAAAAGGAAUGUUACCGGAGAGGCGAUUAUACGACAGAUUGAGAACGUUUAGCUUCAGGUUCUGCAGUUCCACCGGAAUCUCACCGGAAAAUUGAUUGUUGGAGAGAUCGAGGUAGUUAAGAACAGGCAAGAUUCCGACUUCUUUAGGGAUCUCACCGGAGAGAUGAUUAUUAGCCAAAUUGAGCUCAUUUAGAUUCUUCCAACCACGAAUCCCUCUAGGAAUCUCGCCGGAGAGUUGAUUCUUACUGAGAUCAAGCCUACUCAAUUGCUUCAACUUCACCAAGCUACCAGGAAUUACACCAUUGAAACCAUUCUCCGCUCCGGAGAACUCGAUCAGUCCCUUAAGCGAUCCGAUUUCGUCGGGUAUGGAACCUAAAAAUCGAUUCUUUGAGAUUCGUAGGUUUGAUAAAUUCUUCGCACCGAUGAUCGUCUUAGGAAUAACUCCGGUGAAUGAAUUUUCUGAGAGUUCGAGCAGUGAUAAGCGAGGCAAUCCCCAGAACUCGUGAGGUAUGUUACCGGAGAGCUUGUUGUUACUCAAUCGGACCCGAGUCAAGCUCUUGCAUUUUCCUAGACUUUGCGAGAUUUCUCCUGUGAACGAAUUGUCUAUAAGAAUUAGAUACUCCAGUUUCCCUUCGCCGCAGAGAUUCGCCGGUAUUUCGCCGGAGAAUUGAUUGUAUGAUAGGUCCACGUACUGUAACGGAGAGUUUGCGCCGAGUUGACUCGGUAACGUUCCGGUGAGUUUGUUGUUGAAUAGCUUGAGUUCGUACAAGUUUUUGGAGCGAGUUAUGCUCUCCGGUAAGGGACCUUCAAGCAUGUUUUCGAAGAGAUUGAGUGAUUCGAGGUUUAACAGAUUCAAUCCGUCGGGUAUCUUACCUCUAAGCUCGUUCGUCGACGCGUCGAAUCUUUUUAGCGUCGUCAUGUUACCCAUAGCUUCUGGUAACUCGCCUGAGAACGAGUUGUUGAAUAGUUCGAUUUGCUCGACGCUGUUCAGCUGUGUGAUCCAACUUGGGAUUGAUCCAGUGAGUUUAUUAAAUGUCAAAUCCAAGUUAACCAAACGAGUCAAUUUAGAUAGAGCUGAAGGUACCGGACCGACGAGGUUGCAGCCGGCGAGCCAGAGAACUUGAAGCUCUGUGAGGUUUCCGAGUUGACUUGGGAUAAGACUCGGAGAAAACAAAUUGUAAGCGAGUUUGAGUUCUUUGAGAGUCGAGACGUUGCCGAGCGUGGCGGGGAUUGUACCGGAGAGUAAAUUACCGGCGAGGUCUAAAGACUCGAGCUUUUGGAACUCUCCGAAGCUCGCCGGAAUCGUGUCUGAUAAGUUGUUACCGGAGAUUUCGAGGAACUUGAGGUUCGGGAGAUUGGAAGGAAGUGACUUUGGGAUGGACCCGACCAAAAGAUUCUCCGACAAAUCGAGAUAUUCGAGAUUACGACACGCCGUGAAGUCAUCGCCGGAGAGAGAACCAUUGAUGGAGUUGUUAGCAAGAGAGAGAAAGGAUAGAGAAGGAAGACGACAGAGGAUGGAGGGGAAAGGACCGACGACCAUGAAGCUUGAGAGAUCGACGGAGACGACGGAUGAGAAAGCGUCGCACUUGACGCCGUUCCAUUGACACGGCGUGACGUCGUUAUCGGACCAUGAAGAAAGGGACUGAACCGGGUCUGAUAAACUCAGUUUGGCUUGCCGGAGAAUGGUGGCAUCUUGGUUUAGAGAUAGACUUAGAUACGUGGAGGAGAGACAUAGGAGGAGAAUAAGACAAUAAAGCAUUUUUGUUAUAAAAAAAAAAGUUAUGGUUCUUUCAUGCUUUGGAUUUGUGAACAAAAACGAUAUUAUGGAUUGGUAAUUAUAAAGGGAUAUCUAGAAGCAAAAAGGGUAAUGGUCACUGUGACAAGACAUGGGUGAGACAUGUUUUUGAACAAUUCGGAGGCAAAUACAAUACAGUUCGAUGAUUUUUAUAUGAAAUCGAUUACAGAAUAAAGUACUACAUAUACAAAUCAUCUCCAAAAACAUAUAAAGUGAUAGAAAAAGAAACAUUUGGAUUCUAAUAGUUACAUAAAUAUACAUAGUGUAAUUUUUUAUUUAUAGGUAAAUAAGAACAUGUAAAUUAUUGUUCACUUCUUCAAUUAUUCGAAAAGAAAAACAAUGGUCAAUGGUCACUCUCUGAGUCAACUGUAAUGCUACUUUGGUCAACAUGAUGGAGAUACAUGGGCCAAGAGAUGCUGGAUCUAUGUUGACUUUUCUAGUUUGCAUAGAGGCUUCUGGAUUGGACUAAUGUUAUGAAUACAAACUACACAACUAGUGAUGGGAUCUAAUGUGGUUUUUGUGGAACGUAUAUCCUAUGAUUUUACUGUGUAUCGAUCUAAAAAAAAGUUGUUGAACCAAAAACCUAAAACAUACAUGAUCUCCCAACCCUAGAUUGAACAGAUAAUUUGAUGUGAUGGGCAUACGUUUGUAAAGCCGAGUGUGUAUACGUAGACAAGGUCAACUUUGGUUGGUCGGGAAAAAACAUGAUCCAACAGUAAUUUUUUGUUAGAUUACUUUCAUUUCAAUAAGAAAAGCAACAGUCACUUUGAUUUUGAAAAAAAACUACGAGAUUUAAGGGGGGAAAAGAGAGAAAAUGAUGGAUCUUGUCUUUAGCUAAUCUGUGAUCGGAUAUCACGAGUUUUUGCGAUGGUUACAACGCACUAUGCAGUAUGAUGUAACUUCAAGUCCAAUAAUGUUUUGGUCUUCUAACGAUAAUUACCACCACUCUUCCUAGUUUGCAUUCUCUUUACGUCUCCUCGAGUACGUUGCUUUUUUUUAAUGGUUUGGACUUAGUUUUAGUAAUAAAUUUAUAAUAACGAUAUGCUUCAAAAUCUUGUUAUUUUAGUGUUCCAAAAGAAAAUUGUUAGCUAUACCCAAAAACCACGUAAAAAAAGGUUAUACGUGAUAUAAUUUCGUUUUAUUAAAUCCAUGUUUAAUAUGGUUUGCAUGUAUACAGCAUGUAAAUUUUUUCAAAUGAAACAGAGAAUAGCAAAGUUUUCGUUUUUGAAGUUUUAUUAACAAAUACAAUUUUGAGUUGCAGGUCCACUUACCAACUGAUAACCUCUUUUAGCCGAAGAAUAAAUUCGUGCAUAGACCAAUCCAAUACAAUUCUUCAUGGACCAUACGUUAGACUUAGACACUAACUAGACUAGACAGAUUAUAAUUAAGCCACGUCAUUGAAGAGCACGAAACUUACAUUAUUUCGUAUUUUUUGGGAUCCUCCAUAAUCAUCAAUAAUUUAGAACCACUGAAUUAAUUUUUCUAUUUCAAGAAUGGCAAAGUAAUACCAUUGUAUUCUCUUAUCUUCAUGUAGUUUAAUAGACUUAUAGCAUUGCUUGUGUAAAUUAUAUGAAAUCACCUGUAAAUUUUUAUCACAACAAUAUCAUAGAAGUAUAUAUAUAAUCUUCAUAGUUGAUACUAAGGAAACGGUAACAGAGUUUUUUUUAAAAGUUAAAUCCUUUCUGUUACAAACCUCCUAUUUCUUGUUUCGUUACUCAAAUGGUUUUUACGUUUUGUUAUUGCUAAUCUUGACCUGCAACAGAAACAUAAAAAUGGAAGAACAGAAUAUCAACCUUGAAACCUUAACAACAACAACUCAACCGAAGCAGACACCAAAACAAAGAAAGAAAGAAAUCGAAACCCAUAAAAUCUUGUACAAUCCUUUCAUAUCAGAAUAAGCACCAGAGAGACAAAAAGGAAAAGAAAAGAAGAGAUACAUAAUCAUUUGAAAUUGCAGAUAUAAAAAAAUUCAGUGAUGGAAGAGACAAAGCAGUCAUUGAUAGCAUCUUUGCCGGCGGCACCAAGAAAGCCGAAGUCGAAAGUAGAGAAAUUUGCGAGGAAAACAUUCAAAGGAACAACUCAUUUGUCAAAUCUACUUCCGACCGGUUCGGUGAUGAGUUUUCAAAUAAUGUGUCCGGUCCUAACCCAUCAGGGUCAGUGUCCGACCAUCACCAGUCGCUGGCUCACCUGCUUCCUCGUCUUCGUAUGCGCCAUCUCUUGCUUCAUCUUCUCCUUUACCGACUCUAUCAGAGACCCAAACGGCAAGGUAAUAUACAUUUCUCUAUCACAUUUUAGCUAUUUUUAUAUUUACCAUUCGUAUGACAUAUCAAAACUCAAUGUUGUAGAUUAGGUACGGAAUCGCGACAUGGACCGGGCUAUGUGUGAUAGACGGAUCAAUAACUCUAACGGAUGAGGAGAAGGCAAAGUAUAAGCUACAGAUUCUUGAUUUCGUGCACGCAAUCAUGUCAAUGCUCGUCUUCUUUGCAAUCUCCAUGUUUGAUCAGAACGUAACCCGUUGUUUAUUCCCUGUUCCUUCCGAGGAAACUAAGGAGGUCCUUACCAGUUUGCCUUUUAUCAUUGGUGUCUUUUGUGGUGGCUUCUUCCUCGCGUUCCCGACACGCCGUCAUGGCAUCGGAUCCCCACUCACCAAAGAGUAACUUCAUACUCUUACACAAAAUGACGUAAAGUUUUAGUUAUCUUCAAAUUUUUGUUUCUGGAUGACAUGUAACGGAAUCUUGAAAAGAACUAUUCUUUAAAAAAGAUUUGAAAGAACUAUUCUGUAAAAAGAAGACUUGUUUAACAACACGAAAUUAAUGAAGAGGGGGAGAAUUCCCUAUAAAUCGUAUAUUACCAAAUGAUCUUAAUCUCCACACAUCACAAGACAGAAGCUUUAAUCAUUAUCACCCAAGAAGCUUCUUAAACCCAGCUUUCUGUUCCGCAGUUAAUCUCGCUGGAAACUUGAUAUUGAACUUGAUCCUCAAGUUCCCUUUCUUUGUCUGAUCUUUCUGAAGUGGCAUUCCCUCUUUAGGAACCACCUCUUCAUACUCUGGAUGGAUCACGUUGGUGACCGGGAUUGCAAGUGUACGGCCAUCAAGGGUCGUUAUGUUUGUGGUGUAGCCUGUCAAGGCAUCAGCUAGUGAGAUCUUCUGUGUGACAAUCAGAUCGUUACCCUCUCGAGUGAACACUGGAUGGGGUUUCUCGUCAAUGAUGAAUACUAGAUCCGCUGGAAUCACACCCGGAUGCUCAUUGCCUUUCUCUGGGAAUGUGAUCUUUGUGCCUUUCUUCCACCCGGGUUUCACUCCAAUUGUUAGAAUCUCUUCCACUUGCAUUGCCUUUCUGCAUUUAGCAGAAGAAAAAAGAUAAGAUAGAUAUUAGAUACUGUCAAUACAACAACUAAGGCCAGCUCAAAUCAAACAGGUAAUAAAGCAGGGGAAGUUUAUAUUCAGCAUUGAUCAAUACCUUCAAAAUGAUACUGGAAUAUAAUGCAUAAUGUUACAGAAACUAAAGCUUGAAACAAAAGUUUCAUAUGUCUUCAUACUUGGGAGGUUGUCUUUCAAAUCCAUGCCUUAUGUUAACUAGUAGAUAAGUCCAAUACAAAAACUUUCUAAGUGUGAUCGGAUUGGUAGCUGAGUUUGAUCACUUACCCGCUGACAUCUACAAUCUCCCUGGAGAUCUUCAUCUUCUUGGUGGUUCCUUUGUAGAGAUCUUCAAGGCUACAAGGCAACUUGUUCUCGAUAGGAGCCACUUUCCUAGCUGGAGCGUGAUGAUGAUGAUGGUGAUGAUGAUGCAUUGGUCCUCCUCCACCUCCUCCAUCACCAAACGAGGCAUACACAUCAUCACCAAACAUGCGGCUAGAGAACCUCGGCCCUCCGCUGCCACCACCUCCACCACCAAAGGGGGUCGAGAACCCGAAAAACUCAGCGAAUAUAUCAUCCGGGCUUCUCGGGUUGAAUCUGAAAGAUGAAGGUCCAUCUCCUGUUGAGAAGUAGGAAGCUCCACCAGCAGCAUUGGGAGGUGGCACGUUCCCUUUUAACCCUUCCUCACCGUACUGAUCGUACACCGCUCUCUUCUGAGGAUCGCUAAGAACCUACAAGAAGUCACAUCCAAAACAACAUCAGCCACACAUAAAAAACCUGAAUCAGUGUAAACAAUCUUAGUGAAAUUGAGUAAUAGAUAAGCAUAGGAAACACAAACUACAACUUUUGGGAUCCUAUUGGCUAAUUCGAUUCCUACUAUAGGACAGUGACCUCACAUAAUCUAGUUAGCCCAAAAAUAAAGCAAGUAUCUUUUAGUUUCAUACUAUGACUCGUAAACACGAAAUCUGGAAAACCCAAACGAGCUAACACAACACCAAAUCGUAAAAUCUGACUAAUUUGAAUCUCAAAUCGAAAAUUAGAAACAAGUUCGUGACCGCCGACAGAAUCACAGGAGGAGGAAAAAAAAAACUCUUUUAAGUACAAAUAAAAAUCAAAACUUUGAGGACGAUUUCAAUAAAGCAAAUCAUAAUUUUAAAUAGAGAGGCAGUGGUGAGGAAUCAAACACGAAAAACAUACAUCGUAGGCUUCAGAGAUCUGCUUGAACUUAGCCUCAGCGUCUUUUUUGUUGUUAGGGUUCUUGUCGGGAUGCCAUUUCAUAGCGAGUUUUCUAUAAGCUUUCUUAAGGUCAUCGUCGCUGGCGCUUCUAUCAACCUGUAGAACCUUGUAAUAAUCAACUCCCAUCUCACCUUCUUCUUCUUCUUCUUCUCUCUUUCGCUUCUUCACUUUUCCUGAAUCCGAUUAAUCAGCAAAGGUCUUUGAUUGAUUGAUUUUUUUUUAUGUGUUCCUUCUUCUUCGUCGUCUCUAGUCUCUUCGUCUUCGGCUUUCGAUGGUUCUUAGUAGAAAAUCUCGUGGAAGGUUCGAGAAAACACGAUCUCUCCGUUGACGGGGAGGUGACGGUGUUUUUAAUCACAGCUUUGCCCUCUUUUGGCUCUUGCCUUCUCCAUUUUUUCCCUUUAAUUAUCGUUGAAGUUUUUAGAUUCUCCAUUUAUGUAAGAUAAAAAUAAAAAUUAAUUCAGAAAAACAAUUAAAUGCUAUUUCCUUUUUCAUUAUCUAAUAAGUUUUGAGUUGGACAAAUAUUGCGAAAUUUAUCUAAAAAAGCCGUGUAGAAUAAGACAUGUAACGUAUUUAAUUAAAUGUUUGUAAUUAUAUUGUCAAAAAAAUAUAAGAAAUUUCAAGUGUUUUUUUUUAUAGAGAUUUUAACCCAAAAAAAUAGACCAUACCAGAUAAGUAAGGCCCAAUAGUAGCUCAAUAAAUAUGGGCCUCAAUGGAAUUCUUGAUGGAGGGGUAAUCUUCUCCGGUAUAAGUGUUGCGACUUUUUUUUCUUUUGAUAAAUUGUUUUUUCUAUUUUCUACAGUUGAACCUUUGUGCUUGAGUUCCCCCAUAAGAAAAAGAAAAGGCAUACUUCUUCUUCUUAAUCUCUUAAACGUGCAAUUUUCCGACUUAGGGUUUCGGCGAGAGCUCAUAAGUAGAAGCUACUCGAUCGUUUCGGAUUUCGAUUAUCAUUGUUUGGAUUCCUCGGGGUUUGAUCGGGUGUUAGUCUGACUAAAAUGGCUCCAGUUCCGGAUCCGAACAGUGUUGCCGGUGGUGCGAAGCGGGAUGAAGCUACGUUGAAGGUUCCUUCUAAGGAUCCCAAGAAGAAGGAUGAUAAAAAGGAAGAUGAUCUGGUGAGCUCUCUUUGCUUCCGAUUUUGCUUUCUCUUUUGUAUCGUGCUUAGCUGAAAGACUUUGCUGGAUUUAUUUAGUAUCGGAAGUAAAUUUCACGAUUGAGCUGUAGGUUUUGCCAGAUUUAGGGUUUAGUUGAUAAUCUGUUCAUUGGAUUUGAAUGCUUCGUAGAUUGAAUGCCACAUUGCUAUUUAAAAACCGGGAUUACGAAGUUGGUAAAAGUUCUUGGAUAUCAAAAUUCUUGUUAGGGUUUACUCCUGUGGUAUUUUGUAUAGGUAUAUCCAUUAGCCAGUUUUGUAUAUAGUUUGAUUGCUAGCUGACUCGGUUUGUAUAUGAUGUCAUUGCAGUCGGAAGAGGACUUGCAACUAAAGCAGAACCUGGAGCUCUAUGUUGAGAGAGUUCAGGACCCCAAUCCUGAGUUGCAGAAAGCUGCUCUUGAAAGCAUGAGGUAAUUCUUGUA
This 21353-nucleotide long non-coding RNA is filed under the name Capsella rubella. RNAcentral describes it as "long non-coding RNA (CRUB_LNC001367)". Lineage: Eukaryota; Viridiplantae; Streptophyta; Magnoliopsida; Brassicales; Brassicaceae. The record is from RNAcentral.